Molecule: ribosomal RNA, 253 nt
Filed under: uncultured bacterium
Lineage: Bacteria
Description: partial 16S ribosomal RNA
Rfam family: Bacterial small subunit ribosomal RNA
Source: RNAcentral
UACAGAGGUCUCAAGCGUUGUUCGGAUUCAUUGGGCGUAAAGGGUGCGUAGGCGGCGCGGUAAGUCGGGUGUGAAAUCUCGGGGCUUAACUCCGAAACUGCAUUCGAUACUGCCGUGCUUGAGGACUGGAGAGGAGACUGGAAUUUACGGUGUAGCGGUGAAAUGCGUAGAUAUCAGGAAGAACACCGACGGCGAAGGCAGCUCGCUGGGACGGUACUGACGCUGAGGCGCGAAAGCGUGGGGAGCGAACAGG